UCCUACGGGAGGCAGCAGUGGGGAAUAUUGCACAAUGGGCGCAAGCCUGAUGCAGCGACGCCGCGUGGGGGAUGACGGCCUUCGGGUUGUAAACUCCUUUCGCUAGGGACGAAGCUUUUGUGACGGUACCUAGAUAAGAAGCACCGGCUAACUACGUGCCAGCAGCCGCGGUAAUACGUAGGGUGCGAGCGUUGUCCGGAAUUACUGGGCGUAAAGGGCUCGUAGGUGGUUUGUCGCGUCGUCUGUGGAAUUCCGGGGCUUAACUCCGGGCGUGCAGGCGAUACGGGCAUAACUUGAGUACUGUAGGGGUAACUGGAAUUCCUGGUGUAGCGGUGAAAUGCGCAGAUAUCAGGAGGAACACCGAUGGCGAAGGCAGGUUACUGGGCAGUUACUGACGCUGAGGAGCGAAAGCAUGGGUAGCGAACAGGAUUAGAUACCCUGGUAGUCCAUGCCGUAAACGGUGGGCGCUAGGUGUGAGGGUCUUUUCACGACUUUCGUGCCGUAGCUAACGCAUUAAGCGUCCCGCCUGGGGAGUACGGCCGCAAGGCUAAAACUCAAAGGAAUUGACGGGGGCCCGCACAAGCGGCGGAGCAUGUGGAUUAAUUCGAUGCAACGCGAAGAACCUUACCUGGGCUUGACAUAUAGCGGAUCGCUGCAGAGAUGUAGUUUCCCUUUGUGGUCGUUAUACAGGUGGUGCAUGGUUGUCGUCAGCUCGUGUCGUGAGAUGUUGGGUUAAGUCCCGCAACGAGCGCAACCCUUGUCUUAUGUUGCCAGCAUUUGGUUGGGGACUCAUGAGAGACUGCCGGGGUCAACUCGGAGGAAGGUGGGGAUGACGUCAAAUCAUCAUGCCCCUUAUGUCCAGGGCUUCACACAUGCUACAAUGGUCGGUACAACGCGCAGCGACACUGUGAGGUGGAGCGAAUCGCUGAAAGCCGGCCUUAGUUCGGAUUGGGGUCUGCAACUCGACCCCAUGAAGUCGGAGUCGCUAGUAAUCGCAGAUCAGCAACGCUGCGGUGAAUACGUUCCCGGGCCUUGUACACACCGCC
This 1046-nucleotide ribosomal RNA is filed under the name uncultured Corynebacterium sp. Its description in RNAcentral is "bacterial SSU rRNA". It matches the Rfam family "Bacterial small subunit ribosomal RNA", at positions 337 to 1394 of the family's 1533-position model. The record is from RNAcentral. Lineage: Bacteria; Bacillati; Actinomycetota; Actinomycetes; Mycobacteriales; Corynebacteriaceae.